GGGUGAUUAGCUCAGCUGGGAGAACACCUCCCUUACAAGGAGGGGGUCGGCGGUUCGAUCCCGUCAUCACCCACCA
Molecule: transfer RNA, 76 nt
Filed under: Escherichia coli
Lineage: Bacteria; Pseudomonadati; Pseudomonadota; Gammaproteobacteria; Enterobacterales; Enterobacteriaceae
Also listed under: 5 other names
Description: tRNA-Val
Rfam family: tRNA
About the family: Transfer RNA (tRNA) molecules are approximately 80 nucleotides in length.
Source: RNAcentral